CGUCCAUCAGGGAUGUGGUGUUCAUCUGUUUGUCCUCUCUCACCAAGAUGUGGGUGGGGCUUGGCCAGGCGACAUUCCAUAUUUGACAGGUGGAGCUCUGCACACUUACAGCCACCUCCAGGGAGAAUUGGACAGAGAGCGUUUCAGCACUGAUCUAAAGAGGACUGUAGAGACGCACACAGGCUACAAGGCUGAGCUCAGGAUAUUUGUCAGCAAAGAUUUACGCGUGUCCGGCUGUUACGGGCUGUUUGUUCCUGGUUCUAACCCUGGACGUGUCACCUUGGCCACCCUUGACACGUGGACCACACUGGCUGUGGAGCUCGCACACACCAGAGCUCUGGAUGAGACGAGGGGCGUCGCCAUACAGGUUGUUUUAUCUUACACCCUCCAGACAGGAGACCGGAGGACCAGGGUUCACACUCUGACCCUGCGGUGCUCACGUCAGCUACAGGACACCUUUCGUCACUACCAGGCCCAAACACUACUCACCUUCUACUGCAAGAAGAGUAAGGAGUUUGCACUG
This is a long non-coding RNA of Pundamilia nyererei, 523 nucleotides long. RefSeq lists it as uncharacterized. NCBI's taxonomy places the organism in Eukaryota, Metazoa, Chordata, Actinopteri, Cichliformes, Cichlidae. The transcript is spliced from 4 exons. The record is from RefSeq and is a predicted model, not a curated record.